AUUUUUACCUGGCAGGGGAGAUACCAUGAUCACGAAGGGUGGCUUUCCCAGGGCAAGGCUUAUCCAUUGCACUCCAUAUGUGCUGACCCCUGCAAUUUCUUCAAAUGUGGAAAACUCAACUGCAUAAUUUAUGGUAGUGGGUGACUACAUUCGCCCU
This 157-nucleotide small nuclear RNA is filed under the name Sorex araneus (European shrew). RNAcentral's name for it is "U1 spliceosomal RNA (ENSSARG00000014771.1)". It matches the Rfam family "U1 spliceosomal RNA". Rfam says of the family: U1 is a small nuclear RNA (snRNA) component of the spliceosome (involved in pre-mRNA splicing). Its 5' end forms complementary base pairs with the 5' splice junction, thus defining the 5' donor site of an intron. There are significant differences in sequence and secondary structure between metazoan and yeast U1 snRNAs, the latter being much longer (568 nucleotides as compared to 164 nucleotides in human). The record is from RNAcentral. Lineage: Eukaryota; Metazoa; Chordata; Mammalia; Eulipotyphla; Soricidae.